Molecule: ribosomal RNA, 438 nt
Filed under: Staphylococcus epidermidis
Lineage: Bacteria; Bacillati; Bacillota; Bacilli; Caryophanales; Staphylococcaceae
Description: bacterial SSU rRNA
Rfam family: Bacterial small subunit ribosomal RNA
Source: RNAcentral
GACAGGUCAUGGCGAGCUGACGGAGCACGCCGCGUGAGUGAUGAAGGUCUUCGGAUCGUAAAACUCUGUUAUUAGGGAAGAACAAAUGUGUAAGUAACUAUGCACGUCUUGACGGUACCUAAUCAGAAAGCCACGGCUAACUACGUGCCAGCAGCCGCGGUAAUACGUAGGUGGCAAGCGUUAUCCGGAAUUAUUGGGCGUAAAGCGCGCGUAGGCGGUUUUUUAAGUCUGAUGUGAAAGCCCACGGCUCAACCGUGGAGGGUCAUUGGAAACUGGAAAACUUGAGUGCAGAAGAGGAAAGUGGAAUUCCAUGUGUAGCGGUGAAAUGCGCAGAGAUAUGGAGGAACACCAGUGGCGAAGGCGACUUUCUGGUCUGUAACUGACGCUGAUGUGCGAAAGCGUGGGGAUCAAACAGGAUUAGAUACCCCCGGUAGUAAA